GCACACGACGUAAAGACUUGACAUUCUCCCCACUCACAUUACAAGUUGACAGCUACAACACAACGAGGCACAGUGGCUCCUGAGGACCAGAGGAAUAGCUGCCAUGGGCAACCCACUGGAGAAUGACGUAUAAGAGCCGUAAGACAGGGAAGGUGGACAGCAUCCCAUCUGUGGAACUGUCUCAGGCCCAGUGGAGACGUGUGUGUCUGGGACAGGGCAUCAAGUUGACCACCAGCACCAGGCACCAAGUUGACCACCAGCACCGGGCACAUCUACAAAUAUGACAGCUUCAGAGAAAAACAGUGACCAGAGGGAAGAGAGGGAUGAGGAGAGGAAAGGGGUGGAGGAGAGGAAAAAAGGAGGGAGGGU
Molecule: long non-coding RNA, 369 nt
Organism: Oncorhynchus mykiss (rainbow trout)
Lineage: Eukaryota; Metazoa; Chordata; Actinopteri; Salmoniformes; Salmonidae
Source: RefSeq, a predicted model, not a curated record